RNAcentral lists this ribosomal RNA (204 nucleotides) under uncultured bacterium. Its description in RNAcentral is "partial 16S ribosomal RNA". It matches the Rfam family "Archaeal small subunit ribosomal RNA", at positions 744 to 947 of the family's 1478-position model. The record is from RNAcentral.
UCCUAUGCUGUAAACGAUGCUCACUAAGUGUUAGGCAAUGCAAGACGUUGUCUAGUGCCGAAGCGAAAGCGUUAAGUGAGCCGCCUGGGAAGUACGUUCGCAAGAAUGAAACUUAAAGGAAUUGGCGGGGGCCUACUACAAGAAGUGGAGCCUGCGGUUUAAUUGGACUCAACUCCGGGAAACUCACCUGGGCCGUAACGUGAA